This 732-nucleotide ribosomal RNA is filed under the name Pseudomonas jessenii. RNAcentral describes it as "partial 16S rRNA". The record is from RNAcentral. Lineage: Bacteria; Pseudomonadati; Pseudomonadota; Gammaproteobacteria; Pseudomonadales; Pseudomonadaceae.
CGCACCUCAGUGUCAGUAUCAGUCCAGGUGGUCGCCUUCGCCACUGGUGUUCCUUCCUAUAUCUACGCAUUUCACCGCUACACAGGAAAUUCCACCACCCUCUACCAUACUCUAGCUUGUCAGUUUUGAAUGCAGUUCCCAGGUUGAGCCCGGGGCUUUCACAUCCAACUUAACAAACCACCUACGCGCGCUUUACGCCCAGUAAUUCCGAUUAACGCUUGCACCCUCUGUAUUACCGCGGCUGCUGGCACAGAGUUAGCCGGUGCUUAUUCUGUCGGUAACGUCAAAAUUGCAGAGUAUUAAUCUACAACCCUUCCUCCCAACUUAAAGUGCUUUACAAUCCGAAGACCUUCUUCACACACGCGGCAUGGCUGGAUCAGGCUUUCGCCCAUUGUCCAAUAUUCCCCACUGCUGCCUCCCGUAGGAGUCUGGACCGUGUCUCAGUUCCAGUGUGACUGAUCAUCCUCUCAGACCAGUUACGGAUCGUCGCCUUGGUGAGCCAUUACCUCACCAACUAGCUAAUCCGACCUAGGCUCAUCUGAUAGCGCAAGGCCCGAAGGUCCCCUGCUUUCUCCCGUAGGACGUAUGCGGUAUUAGCGUUCCUUUCGAAACGUUGUCCCCCACUACCAGGCAGAUUCCUAGGCAUUACUCACCCGUCCGCCGCUGAAUUCAGGAGCAAGCUCCUGUCAUCCGCUCGACUUGCAUGUGUUAGGCCUGCCGCCAGCGUUCAAU